This 509-nucleotide ribosomal RNA is filed under the name Metarhizium robertsii. RNAcentral's name for it is "eukaryotic LSU rRNA". The stretch from base 113 to 266 matches the Rfam family "5.8S ribosomal RNA". The record is from RNAcentral. Lineage: Eukaryota; Fungi; Ascomycota; Sordariomycetes; Hypocreales; Clavicipitaceae.
CCCUGAAUUAUACCUUUAAUUGUUGCUUCGGCGGGACUUCGCGCCCGCCGGGGACCCAAACCUUCUGAAUUUUUUAAUAAGUAUCUUCUGAGUGGUUAAAAAAAUGAAUCAAAACUUUCAACAACGGAUCUCUUGGUUCUGGCAUCGAUGAAGAACGCAGCGAAAUGCGAUAAGUAAUGUGAAUUGCAGAAUUCAGUGAAUCAUCGAAUCUUUGAACGCACAUUGCGCCCGUCAGUAUUCUGGCGGGCAUGCCUGUUCGAGCGUCAUUACGCCCCUCAAGUCCCCUGUGGACUUGGUGUUGGGGAUCGGCGAGGCUGGUUUUCCAGCACAGCCGUCCCUUAAAUUAAUUGGCGGUCUCGCCGUGGCCCUCCUCUGCGCAGUAGUAAAACACUCGCAACAGGAGCCCGGCGCGGUCCACUGCCGUAAAACCCCCCAACUUUUUAUAGUUGACCUCGAAUCAGGUAGGACUACCCGCUGAACUUAAGCAUAUCAAUAAGCGGAGGAAAAGA